This 2796-nucleotide ribosomal RNA is filed under the name Leptoxyphium fumago. Its description in RNAcentral is "bacterial LSU rRNA". Lineage: Eukaryota; Fungi; Ascomycota; Dothideomycetes; Capnodiales; Capnodiaceae. The record is from RNAcentral.
ACUUGCACAGUUGCACGGUUGCACGGGCCAUCGAGAGCAACAAUGAAUGAUUUACGAAAUUAGAUUUUGCCAAUUCGUUCGAAAACCUCGAAGGAUAUGACCCUUGUUAUGAUGUUUGGARAKRWMMKWKWUGMMUGAUAAGCCUUUAAAGUNAAAACGAAUAGCUAUGCUAAUUUGUUUGAAUAUAGGGAAACCUUUCUCUAAGGCUAGAUAUGAUAUAUAAGCGAUGAAGUGAGAANGUACCGUGAGGGAAAGAUUCCAAAUAGUAGUUUUAUAANGCAGCUCAAGUAAAUUGAAAAUAAGAGCGUACCUUUUGCAUAAUGGGUCAGCAAGUUAAUGUUNAGAUGCGAGAGGGGUAUCGAAUAAAGUAAAACUUAUAGAAUUUAAUAUAGUNAUUAUUUUACGAUUUUAUAUUAGAGAUAAUAUAAUUUUGUAAAGCAUUUACAGUUAGAUAUAAUAUAAAGAUGAAAUUAUUAGAGUAAAAUAAAAUGAUCCUUCAUCAUGAGGGACGGUUAGGUAAAGAAUAAAUAUUUUUCUUACUUAAGUGAAAAAAUCAAUUUUCCUUUUCCUAGAUAAACCAAUUAUUAAAUAAUGAAUAAGUAUCUAAUAUUAGACCCGAAGCCUAGUGAUCUUACCAUGAUCAGGAUUAUAAAAGUCCGAACGGGUGAUUGUUGCAAAAAUCUCCGAUGAAUUGUGGUAAGUUAGUGAAAGACAAAACUGACUAGGAUAGCUGGUUUUCCGCGAAACCUAUAUAAGUAGGUAAUUCAAAUAACAUCAUAGCAGGUACAGAACUGUGAUCUCAGACAAGUUGUGAUUUUUAUCACUUUGUAUAUAUCGGGGGAUCGUGAAGAUUUUAUCGGUGAGGAUUUGCUCUCGGAAGGGCAAUGAUGAAUUUUGAAUAAUCGGACAUAGUACGAUAAGGUUGUAUGUCUAAAGGGAAACAGCCCAGAACAAGUGUUAAGGUUCCAAAAUUAUUGUUAAGUGAAAAUAAGGAAGUUUUUUUCGUAUACAACCAGGAAAUAGGCUUAGAAGCGGCCAUUUUUUGAAGAUCUCGUAACAGAGCACUGGUUUAUUUUUUAGUUAAAAGCACCAAAAAUUUAACGGAUCUAAACAAUAUACCGACACCUUGUCCAUAGAUAAGUUAAAAUAUCUAUGGGGUAGCGGAAAGUUGGGCAUGUCUUAGAUUUAAUCUUUUCAAGAUUGAAUAAUAGAUUAUUUAUUAAAAAAGAUAAAUUUACAUGUAGAUAGCGCAAAGCGGAAGAAACAUGUGUAUAAUCUAGAGAUUACCCCAAGUGAGAAUGCUGGCAUGAGUAACGAAAAAGGGAUAUCCCCUCGCCUUAAGCUUAUGGUAUAAAGAAAGUAACGGCCUCUAAGUUUAUUAAAUUAUCCUAAAGGAUUGAACGAUGAGAAAAUCUUUACAUAUUUAACAACUUUAUCAAAUUAAUUAAAUAAAAAUUUAAAAGUGGAUAAAGUUCUGGAAAAAAAAUAUGAAUUAAACCGUACCUAGAAACUAACACAAGUAAGCGAGUAGAGUAUACGAAGGCGUUUGAGCUAACAAUCAUUAAGGAACUCGGCAAAUUUACACCGUAACUUCGGGAUAAGGUGUGCCAUUUUUACUACAUAAUAUUAGUUUAAAAAUAGGAGGCAUAGAAUGGUGUUGUACGACUGUUUAAUUAAAACAAAGCACUUUGCAAAAGAUGAAUAAUCAAAGUAUUGAGUGUGAUUUCUGCCCGAUGUUGGCUGGUUAACGGAUUUUCUUAGUUGACUAAAAUAAACUAGGUUUUGAAGGAUACCCCAAUCAAUGGCGGCCUUACCGAUGAGGGUCCUAAGGUAGCGGAAUACCCUGGCCGUUAAAUGCGGUCUUGCAUGAAUGAUUUAACGAUACAACAGCUGUCUCAAUGAUUGACUCAGUGAAAUUGGAAUAACUGUGCAGAUACAGUUUACCUCUAGUUAGACGAGAAGACCCUAUGCAGCUUUACUGUUGCUAGUUAUUGGAUAUGAUGGAGCAAGUUGUAGUGUAUAAGGUAAUUGAAAAGAUAAAAUUGAAACACCUUUACUUAGCUUAUCAUAUAAGUAAAAUAAUGAUUAUUUAUUAUAAUCGUAAAGUUUACACAGCUUAUCCAAAUAAGAGGAGCAUUUUUAAUAGUGCUCGGGAAACAGUUGCUAGUAGAUAGUUUAUGCGGGGCACAGAUCCCACAAAUAGUACCUGGGUGUAUCCAAAGUUAAUUUUGUAAAAAAGCUAGUUUAUUUUUAAAGCUAGCUAAUAUGUAAAUAUNAUUUUUUUUAUAAAAGAAUAUUUACAUAUUUUUAUUUUAAUUUGUGAUAGAUUUAUUAAAAUCUAUUCAGUUAUCUAUCUAUUAAGUUAGAUUUAUUAUAUUUAUUUUAAGUAAGAUUUUAACUAUAUGGAAAAUAGAUAUAAAUGAAAUAGUAACUGAAAUUUAUUAUUUGCUACGGUAAAUAUGAAUCACUAUCAGUACUAUUUUUUAUUUUUAUAAUUCGCGCUUUUAUUAUAAAAGCAGUAUAAGCGAUAUAUGAUUGUUAUUUUUUAUUAUAAAAGUUUAAUGGCUUAAUCUUGCUUUACUGUUUGACUUACACGUCUAUCAGUCGCGUAAGCGGGGCAUAUGAUCACAAGAUGCAUAAAGGAAAGGUCUUGGAUUUUUGAAAAAGCUACGCUAGGGAUAACAGGCUAAUUGCGCCAGAGAGUACAAAUUGAGUGCGCAGUUUGGCACCUCGAUGUCGGCUUAGCUCAUCCACAUGAAUGCAGGAAUCAUGAAGGGUACGACUGUUCGUCGAUUA